GAUGAACGCUGGCGGCGUGCCUAAUACAUGCAAGUCGAGCGAACGGACGAGAAGCUUGCUCCUCUGAUGUUAGCGGCGGACGGGUGAGUAACACGUGGAUAACCUACCUAUAAGACUGGGAUAACUUCGGGAAACCGUAGCUAAUACCGGAUAAUAUUUUGAACCGCAUGGUUCAAAAGUGAAAGACGGUCUUGCUGUCACUAAUAGAUGGAUCCGCUCUGCAUUAGCUAGUUGGUAAGGUAACGGCUUACCAAGGCAACGAUGCAUAGCCGACCUGAGAGGGUGAUCGGCCACACUGGAACUGAGACACGGUCCAGACUCCUACGGGAGGCAGCAGUAGGGAAUCUUCCGCAAUGGGCGAAAGCCUGACGGAGCAACGCCGCGUGAGUGAUGAAGGUCUUCGGAUCGUAAAACUCUGUUAUUAGGGAAGAACAUAUGUGUAAGUAACUGUGCACAUCUUGACGGUACCUAAUCAGAAAGCCACGGCUAACUACGUG
RNAcentral lists this ribosomal RNA (497 nucleotides) under uncultured bacterium. RNAcentral describes it as "partial 16S ribosomal RNA". It matches the Rfam family "Bacterial small subunit ribosomal RNA", at positions 28 to 507 of the family's 1533-position model. The record is from RNAcentral.